UACGGGGGGGGCAAGCGUUGUUCGGAAUUACUGGGCGUAAAGGGCUCGUAGGUGGCCAACUAAGUCAGACGUGAAAUCCCUCGGCUUAACCGGGGAACUGCGUCUGAUACUGGAUGGCUUGAGUUCGGGAGAGGGAUGCGGAAUUCCAGGUGUAGCGGUGAAAUGCGUAGAUAUCUGGAGGAACACCGGUGGCGAAGGCGGCAUCCUGGACCGGCAUUGACGCUGAGGAGCGAAAG
RNAcentral lists this ribosomal RNA (236 nucleotides) under uncultured bacterium. Its description in RNAcentral is "partial 16S ribosomal RNA". It matches the Rfam family "Bacterial small subunit ribosomal RNA", at positions 524 to 759 of the family's 1533-position model. The record is from RNAcentral.